CCUACGGGCGACAGCAGUGAGGAAUAUUGGUCAAUGGCCGAGAGGCUGAACCAGCCAAGUCGCGUGAGGGAAGACGGCCCUACGGGUUGUAAACCUCUUUUGUCGGGGAGCAAAGAGAGUCACGUGUGAUUCAUUGAGAGUACCCGAAGAAAAAGCAUCGGCUAACUCCGUGCCAGCAGCCGCGGUAAUACGGAGGAUGCGAGCGUUAUCCGGAUUUAUUGGGUUUAAAGGGUGCGCAGGCGGAGGUGCAAGUCAGCGGUAAAAUUGCGGGGCUCAACCCCGUACUGCCGUUGAAACUGCAUCCCUUGAGUGCGCGAGAGGUAUGCGGAAUGCGUGGUGUAGCGGUGAAAUGCAUAGAUAUCACGCAGAACUCCGAUUGCGAAGGCAGCAUACCGGCGCGCAACUGACGCUCAUGCACGAAAGCGUGGGUAUCGAACAGGAUUAGAUACCCCAGUAGUC
RNAcentral lists this ribosomal RNA (459 nucleotides) under uncultured bacterium. RNAcentral describes it as "partial 16S ribosomal RNA". It matches the Rfam family "Bacterial small subunit ribosomal RNA", at positions 338 to 795 of the family's 1533-position model. The record is from RNAcentral.